Molecule: ribosomal RNA, 91 nt
Filed under: Meriones unguiculatus (Mongolian gerbil)
Lineage: Eukaryota; Metazoa; Chordata; Mammalia; Rodentia; Muridae
Source: RNAcentral
GUAUACAGUCAUACUACCCUGAAUGUGCCCUUUCUCAUCUGAUCUCAGAAGCUAAGCAGAGUUGGUACUUGGAUGAGACACAUCAUAAACU